Molecule: RNA transcript, 6222 nt
Organism: Haplochromis burtoni (Burton's mouthbrooder)
Lineage: Eukaryota; Metazoa; Chordata; Actinopteri; Cichliformes; Cichlidae
Gene name: myelin-oligodendrocyte glycoprotein
Exons: 5
Source: RefSeq, a predicted model, not a curated record
AAUUUGGCUCUGUGUAUUGGGAUGUCACACGGUGUUUUACAACAUUACUUUAAUCUUUACUUCUCGCUUAUGUUGGAAAGGAGCCUCACAUCCAGGCAGCAGUUGACCAUGCACUUCUGGUAAUUAACCUAAAAAUAUAAUGACAUUUAAAUGUGCAGAAAUAUGACAUCAUGCAAAAUCGCCCAUGAUGCAGUCAUUGACAGGAAUUCGGUUCUUUUAAAUGUGGUCGUUAAGAGUGUUGCAUCGCACCAAAAAAGGUUGUUGGUUGGAAUCGUUUAGGCUGAACUGUGUCUUUGACUUUGGCUGUGAGUAUCUACACCUACCCACUACAGUGUGGGUGUAGAUGUGUAGACCUUUCACUCUUGUGUCAUCAGCUUCACUCCAUCCACCCUCUCUCUGAAUUCCCCUGAACCAGGUCCCUGAACUGGAUAAGAUGUAAAGAAAAUUAAUAUGUGUGUGGAUUAAGAUUAUUACGCUGGAAACACAGUUAGAAUAACUAAAACUUAAAAACGUGUUUAAAAGCGGGAGUAGACAAAAUGGAAACUAAACGCACGUCAGCAGGAAGCCACUGCUCCUUCUUCUUAUUUUACUUUCACUUUCAGACUCCGAGCCGCACAUGAAGCGCUUCCUUCCUUCUUGUUACUGAAGAAAACAGCUUGUUUUAUAAUUUUUUCUCGUCUCCAUGAAGAGAAUGGUGGUGACGAUCAGCUAAUUAAGCUCCUGUCUGAACAGGUGAGUUUGAUGUGGUCGGAUCACUUCAGCCUAUCCUGGCCGCUCCAGGUGAUGAUGUCAUCCUGCCGUGUCGCGUGGAGCCAAAGUUUAAUGUGGCAGGGUUGACGGUGGAGUGGUCGAGGCCCGAUCGUCGUCCUGACCCCAACGACCGUCUGAGUCGAGUGGAUUAUGUUCAUCUUUACAGAGACGCCCGCGAGGUCCCUGACAUGAAGAUCCCAUCGUACGUCGGGAGGACGGCGUUGUUCACAGACGGCCUGAGAGAAGGAAACAUCUCACUAAGAAUCACUAAUGUGACACAAGAAGAUGAAGGAAGAUACAGAUGUUUCAUCCCAAAGUUAAAGAGUCAAACACAGUCUUCAAUUGUUCAUCUGAUUGUUGCUGAAACUAUGACAACAGAGACGCCACUGCAUCCUGAAACUCUCCAAACUCCUGAGGACGAGUUUCACAGUAAAGGUGGUUUGUCCCGUCGGAGCCGACUGAUCCCACUUGUGGUUUUCUGUGUUUUUAUGCUGCUCUGUGUCGCAGUCGCAGGAGGCUGGUUCAUUGAGUCAAAGUUUAAAAAAACAGAACUCAAGAAAGGACCUCCUAACUAGGUGCCUUGCUCAUGGACGUGCCUUGCUCCCAAACUCCCAGUUGGGAUUCAGGAGACGGAUACCCUCUCUAUUUUAAAGAUUAGGUGUAAAACUUUUCCUUUUAAUAGCUAGGGAUUGAGACCUAGCUUUAUGACCUAGCUGUCAGCAAAGCUCUGCUGAGGGUGGCGAGAUCAGCACAGCGCAUCACCAGGACUGAACUACCAGCCGUUGCAUGAGGAAGACGCAGCGGAUCCUCUCUGAUCCCAGCCACAGACUUUUCACACUCCUGCCAUCCAGCAGGUGGUUCAGGACCAUCCAGACCCGCACUACCAGACACAGAGACAGUUUUUACACACAAGCCAUCAGACUUUUGAACUGCUGACAUUCUAUACACAUCAUUACACACUCAUUACAAUUACAGGACUCUACACACUGCCACUUCAAAAAUGCCACUUAAAUGUUCAUUGCACAAGUUUUGCACAACCUGUAAAUAACAACUUGUCUUAAAUUCACUAAAUAUUUAAUACUUUUUAUUCUUAAUUUAACUGCACACAUGGGGGUUAGUACUGUUUCCUCACAGCAGGAAACUCCUGGUUUUGAAUUCCUCAUCUGGCCUGGGCCUUUGUGAGGUUUGCAUGUUCUUCCCAUGUCUAUGUGGAUUCUCUCUGGGUACUCCAGCUUCCUCCCACAGUCCAAAGACAUGAAGUCAGUGGGUUUAGGUUAAAUGGUGAUUUUAAGCUGCCCAUAGGCAAGAAUGGUUGUCUUUCUCUGUUUUAACCCAUACAUAUUCAGACUAAAACCUGAGGACCAAACUGGUUUAGAUAAUAAGAAGUCAGCCUGUUUAAGAACUGUACCACAUCUAGCAGUCUGCAUGUAUUCUAAAGAGAGCUAAGAUUUCCAACACCUUUUCCCUUGAAGUGAUUACAGCAGCUAGGAUGUAAACAUGUUUGGACACUAGGGAUUUUUUCUAACCACAGCCUGGAGCUGCAGGUGUUUUUCCAAAUGUUUGUUUUGUAAUUAUGAAAGUUCAUAAUUGCCACACACAGACACACUGAUUAUUGUCUGAAGUACAUCAUUUUGGUUUCAGUUCUAAGGAUUUGGAUGUCAUCAAAGUUAAAUUUUCUUUAUAAGGAAGAACUUGUUCAUUGUGUGAACUUUAAAGUCCUCUUCUCAUCCUUAGCAGCGAUGAUCUGUGGAGGAGUUCAGCUGUGUUGUUAUUAAUGUCAGAGACGUCACUGAGCACAGUGGCAAACGCAUCAGUCAUGGUGCUUUUUGUUUUGAGGUCAGGAUUAUUUUACAGUGGGGUUUUUUAGAAUAUUUUGUUUAAGGACAGUACAGCAGAGGCAGCUUUUUGCUAUAAUGUAUGUCUGUACCAAAGUAUAAAGAUAUUACAAAAACACAUUUAUCAGGAUUUAUAUUAGACUUGAUUUGGCAUGAAAGCUCACAAACAGCUGAGUUCUCACUUUUCAUGAAAUUUAAAUCUACAGCUUGACUGUUACUGAUAUUUUGUUUAAAGAUGAGAUUUGAUUUCCAUUGUUCUUUAUUGUCUAUUGUCUGGCAUUUACGUCAGCAGGUGCAGGAGCAGUCCAACCUGUAUCACGAUUAACCCCACACACCCAACCCAGAAACUCUUCGACCUCCCCCCUGAGGCAGGAGUAUGCACAGCUUCUUCUCAAAGGCUGUAAGAGUGGUCACCUCCAAACCUCACUGGCCUCAUUCUAGCUUGCUGUGCUGCUGCGCUGGUUUUUAAAAUGCCACACCUGGGUCUUUUGUCUAUUUAUUAUAAAAUAUGUAGUCAUAAAUUAUAUAUCUUAUUAUUAUUUUUAUUAUUUUUAUUUUUAAUCUAAUAAAAGCUGCUUUCUCUUGCACACGGUGGUUGCUCACCUGCAAGUCCCUUUGCAACCCACCUCUGCCCUUACUCCUCCAUACAUGCAGUAGCUGACUUAACCCUCUGGGGUCAAUGGAUGCGCUGGCGCGUCCAAAUCACUUGACCAAUUUGAGACGACACAGCAACAAGAUGUAGCCAACCAGAGCCUCCAUUUCAACUUGUGUUGAAAGUGCAGACUUCAAGCUAUAUUGCAGUUUUUAAAAGUUUUAAAAUCUUUUUUGCAAAACUUGUGCAUAGGUUUUUUUAAUUUCAAGUUGUGAAAAUUAUUUGUUCAAUUUGUGAUUGUUACAGUAAAAAAUAAAGUACUUUUUUUGUACUUGGAUUUAGAUUUAGUCUCAGAUCAAUCCCGUUAAUGCAGUAUGUCAAAAUGAAAAAAUAACAGUAAAUCCAGAUAUUAGAUUGUGCUGAAAAGAAUAGUACAAAACAAGGCAAGGUAAAUAAUUUUUAAAGGUGAGGUAAAAUCAAAAGUAGGAAAAAAUGGCCAGUUAUAGUGUGGAAGAAGAGGGAAAGUCAAUAUAUCAGUCAUCACAGGCUUCUGACUAUAGAGGCUCUAGACUUGUGUUUUGAGACCUAGUUCCAGCUUAGCCAUCAGAAAGGGAUCCGUCUAACUCUACAUCAUCUCUUUACAAAAACAAUAACAACUGAAAUCACCAGUGAUGAAACAUGAAAGUCGGGACUUUUUAGAUAGUUCAGGAUUUUUCCCCUUAAAGCUGUCUUUCUGGGUGUUCAUGUUUGUCAGUGUUGAAAACACUUUUAUUAAAAAAAGAAAAGUACGAGGUACUUGUGGAAAAUAAGACUAGGCUUAUUUUUGAGAGUUGUUUCUUAGUCUUCAGUGUCAGUUUCGGGGAAGAAAGAAAUUAUGUAAGAAAAAAAAACCUGAGUGUUUUUAGUUUCCCUGAAAUUACUUCAGCUUCUGUAAUUUACACUUUUCCAUCAAGUUUCAUGAACAUGGCACUUUUGUUUCUUUCUUUUUUAACUUACUGUAGGGACAAUGAGAUAAAAGAGCAAACAGCACUGUAAACCUGAUUCACAAUGUGAAAAUACUUUUGCAUGUUAAAAAUAUAUUAAAACUCUUAAAGUCUUUGUUGUGACGCUCCAAACUGAAGGCAGCAGAAACUAGUUUGCCUUUGAGAUGUGAUAGAACUUGUUCCACUAAUGGCAAACUAAAUGGACUGCACAUAGUUUAGAAAUAUACUUACUCGUGUAAUUAAGAUCAAACUAACUAAAGACCAAAACACCGCAGAACCAUAUGUGACCAAGUGGACUUCAGGGACUAGUAGCCACAACUCAUCAUCACUCAGGAAGCUCCACUCUGAAUUAGCAGACAAAGGUAGGGGUGGACUACUUGGGCAAAGUGUAGGGGGCCCCGGGCAAACCUGUGCCUUUCAACAUGUCACAAUGGAGAUGUCGAACCUUGUCCAAGUCUCCCACAGGGGCAAUGGUAUAUACAGCCCCAUUCCCUUGAGGUGCCCUGAACACCUGGUAGGCAACGGAGCUCCAUAGGUCCUGGAUCUUGUGCCGGCCCCGGGCACUGUGAUCUCGAAGAUACACCAGUCGACUGACCUGUAAAGGCGCAGGGUGGACUCUCUGAUCAUGCCGCUACUUGAGACAGUCAGCGGCCAUCGACAACCGUGUCCAAGCUCCCUCAAAAGCCACUAUUAACCUGGCUUGAUGCUCAGCAAUCCUGUACUUUUCCUGGCACUGGGUCCCGGGCCAAUAGCAACGCUGCCUGACCAGUUCAGUGGUACGCUCAAUAUCCUGGUGCUCAUGGUCCUUGUGCAGUUGUCUCAAGGUCUCAACCCCCCCACCCCCUCUUGAGACGGGAAGUCUACAGUCUACAGCUUAGUAGCAGAGGGUAACACCGCGGGACACCGAGCCUGCUGAAGCAGAGUUGGAACUGAAGUCCCAGGCACCACACUCUUGACCAGGCUAGAGCUUGUCUCAUACUGUUGAGAGAGAACGUCAGGAUUCCCAUUGCUGCGGCCCGAGUUGAAGUUGAAGUCGCUCCACCAGAUCUCAGACCAGCGCUGUACCGCCAAGUUUCUAAGUUGUUGCAGCUCCUCUUCCAUGGCGAUAAUCCUAGACAAACCAAAAACAAGGGAAAGUUAAGGUAGUGAAAUGCUAAAAUCCUGUUUCUAUUCUUCCUGAACCUGGAUUCUGCUGUCUUGUCUACAAUCAACCACAAAAAAAAGUCUUAAAAUACUAUGAUCAGUACCUAAAUAAAACAAUUUACGAGACCCUCAACCUCAAAUGUGCAUCCUGUCGAACAUAAAUGAAGCAUCAGGUCCCAGAAACUGACCCCUGGGGCACAGUGCGCUCAGUAACUGGAAAGCAGAAGAUCUCUGAGUAACUUAACAAUGAAUUCCAUGUUAAGAGGGAUGUGAGCAGUUAUCCAGUGGGUAAGAGAAUCUUAAGAGAAAUAUUAAUGGUGGGAUAGUUUGAAGAACACUUGAGAAGAUUCUCUGCAAGCUGCAGUGACUGAAUACCUGAAUUAUUGUUUUUUUUAACCACUUUGAAGAAUCUCCUCAAUAGAUACAGUAAUAGUUUCCAUCAUAACAGAUACUGUUCAGUUUUCUGACUAAAACUGAAACACAGAGUACAGACUUUCACUGACUGAAAUUUACAUUGGAUUUUUAUUUUCCACUUUGUUGUGCUUAUUGCUGCACAACAAAGCACCUUGCAGGGAUUGUUCCCACGCUGGCAAAAGUUUACUGCAAAUGAUAAAUGACGCUAUAUUUUGUAAAACAACAUUUUAUCACCUAUUUUUAACAACUUUCUCAGGGGCAGACCUAAAGAAAUGUUCUUAGGGUGGCAUGAGGGCAGCAGGGAAGCUACUUUUUUCACACAAAAAAGUCAGAAAUCUGUAGUGUUACGAAAAAAAUUAUAUAUUAUCACCAAAAAUGUAAAACAAAUUUUUGAUGUUUCACUGGGUUAAUGCACUUAUCUUCAUGCUUUUUCCAGAGUGUACUAAUCAAACAUCUGCACUCAAAAAAAAUGAAAUUGGGUGGUUGUUAGAUUUACAAGAUUGAA